GGUAUCAUACGCCCAGUGGUAGAGCACAUGCUUAGCAUGCCUGAGGUCCUGGGUUCAAUCCCCAGUACCU
This 70-nucleotide transfer RNA is filed under the name Camelus bactrianus (Bactrian camel). It matches the Rfam family "tRNA". Rfam says of the family: Transfer RNA (tRNA) molecules are approximately 80 nucleotides in length. Their secondary structure includes four short double-helical elements and three loops (D, anti-codon, and T loops). RNAcentral also lists the same sequence under 2 other names. Lineage: Eukaryota; Metazoa; Chordata; Mammalia; Artiodactyla; Camelidae. The record is from Rfam by way of RNAcentral.